Molecule: long non-coding RNA, 1803 nt
Filed under: Zea mays
Lineage: Eukaryota; Viridiplantae; Streptophyta; Magnoliopsida; Poales; Poaceae
Description: long non-coding RNA (ZMAY_LNC002850)
Source: RNAcentral
GUGGCAUGUCGCAUUCAUAAAAUUGCCUGUUUGGCCACGGAAAUGUUUGAUAUAGCUCGCGGGAGGCUAAGAACCGCUUUAAGGUGCUCCGCGGACAAAAACACGUGUGGCGGAACGCGGACAUAAAAAUGAUCGUUGGGCCAUGAAAACGUGUGCUAUAGCUCACGGGAGGCCAAAACAGCCUUACCAGUCUAAAUGGUCAAAUCAUGGGUGGCGGACGGGAGGCACGAAAUCGCUAUUCGACGACAAAAACAUGUGUCACGGGAGGCCCUAAACCCUAAACCCUAAACCCUACAGCUUGUGGGAGGCCAAGAACAACUUUAAGGUGCUCUGGGGACCAAAACGCGGGUGGUGGAACACGUACUUAAAAAUGGUCGCUCGACCAUGAAAAUGUGUGACAUAGCUUAUGGGAGGCCAUAAACAGCCUUAGCAGUCUCAGUGGCCAAAUCAUGGGUGGCGGACGGGAGGCAUGAAAUCGUUGUUUGACGAUGAAAAAAUGUGUGACGGGAGGCCAAAAAUAGCCUUACCGGCCUCCAGGGACCAAAAUUUGUACUAUGGUUUGGACACUAAAAUUCUACUGUGUCAGCAAAGUUGAUAUGGUUGGGAGACUCAAAUUUCAUUUUACCAUGGUUUCGACACUAAAAUCCUUUAGUGUCGAUGUUUAGGUUUAGGGUUUAGGGAUAGGAUUUAGGGUCUAGGUUUCCAUAAAAUCGUGUGCUAUAGCUCACGGGUGGCAAAAAAAUGCCAUAACAGCCUCCCUAGUCUAAAACGAAGGUGGCAGGUCGGAUACAUAAAAUUGGCUGUUUGGCCACGGAAAUGUGUGAUAUAGCUCGCGGGAGGCCAAGAACCGCUUUAAGGUGCUCCGGGGACAAAAACACGUGUGGCGGAACGCGGACAUAAAAAUGGUCGCUGGGCCAUGAAAACAUGUGCUAUAGCUCACGGGAGGCCGAAACAGCCUUACCAAUCUCAAUGGUCAAAUCAUGGGUGGCGGACGGGAGGCACGAAAUCGCUGUUCGACGACAAAAACAUGUGUCACGGGAGGCCCUAAAACCUAAACCCUAAACCCUACAGCUCGUGGGAGGCCAAGAACAACUUUAAGGUGCUCUGGGGACCAAAACGCGGGUGGUGGAACACGUACUUAAAAAUGGUCGCUCGACCAUGAAAACGUGUGCUAUAGCUUACGGGAGGCAUGAAACCGUUGUUUGACGAUGAAAACAUGUGUCACGGGAGGCCAAAAAUAGCCUUACCGGCCUCAGGCGACGAAAACGUGUACUAUGGUUUGGACACUAAAAUUCUACUAUGUCAGCAAAGUUGAUAUGGUUGGGAGACUCAAAUUUCAUUUUACCAUGGUUUCGACACUAAAAUCCUUUAGUGUCAAUGUUUAGGUUUAGGUUUAAGGAUAGGAUUUAGGGUCUAGGUUUCCAUGAAAUCGUGUGCUAUAGCUCACGGGUGGCAAAAAAAUGCCAUAACGGCCUCCCCGGUCUAAAACGAAGGUGGUAGGUCGGAUACAUAAAAUUGGCUGUUUGGCCACGGAAAUGUGUGAUAUAGCUUGCGGGAGGCCAAGAACCGCUUUAAGGUGCUCCGAGGGACAAAAACACGUGUGGCGGAAUGCGGACAUAAAAAUGGUCGCUCGGCCAUGAAAACGUGUGAUAUAGCUCACGGGAGGCCAAAACAGCCUUACCAGUCUCAAUGGUCAAAUCAUGGGUGGCGGACGGGAGGCACGAAAUCACUGUUCGACGACAAAAACAUGUGUCACGGGAGGCCAAAAUAGCCUUACGGGCCUCCGGGGACUAAAACGUGUAC